UCAUGCUCAUUCAGUUGAGUAGCAUGAGAGAGAAGAAAUGAGAGCUCAGCUCCUGGGCCUCACAUUCUUUUAAAUUGUGUGGCAGUUGCACACCCCCCUCUCUCCCCCUCCUGCUUCCUUCCAUAUGGAAGGUGCAGGCACAACCCCCUCUCCCUCAACACAUCCCCCUAGCCUCUCCUGCAACGGGGUUAACAGCUUCUUUUGUUUGACCCCAGAGCCCAUUUGCCAGGGUCGUUAAGAGAGAGGAGGAGAGGGGGCAGAGGCGCCAAGGAGCAAGAAGUUUCAGAGCACCCUAUAGCCAGAGUGGGGUGUAGAGAAGCUUCUGGAAUGCCCACAGUCAGAUCAGACAUGGCUAUAUAAAUGGGACGCCCGCCGAGGCAUGCGUUUUGGCAUGUUCUCUUGGAGUCGUGGGCCAAGAAUACUGUCACUGAGAGCCCUCCCCUUAGCCAGGAUUGCUGCCUAAGGUAAUCUCCCAGGACUGGGACCUCCUCACUGCACAGUGUGGACUUUCCAGAGGGAUCAUUAUGUAUCAUAUUCAAGUGAAGCUCCUAUUCUGGAUAAGAAAGGUGCAGUGAGGGAGACAGCCCUUCAUGUGGCUGCCUUCUGUGACAAUGUGGAUGCUGCUCAGCUUGUCAAUGAAAUAAUAACAUCUGAACUGCAAGCAGUGCUGCAAAAAGCAGUAUGGAUUCAGAAGAUGAUGCUUUUUACAUCUCAUUCUCAGAGAUGUUGCUACAAGGAGACAUGACAGCAGGAGGAGCCUACUCCCUGACCAAAAACACUCAGUGAGAGGAGAAUGCAUCUGAAACUCUUGUAUAUUCAUGUAGCCCUCAGAAGCAGAAGUACUGAUUAUGUUGUUUUGCCUAAAUUGCAGGGUAAACAUUACAUCUAACUCUGAUUUUUUCAGGAAGAUGUCACUUUUUUAGAAUGAUUUCAUAGAAAUUCUGUGUAUUGUGUGAGAAUUUCAUCCUACUAUUUCAGAAAAAGACUGAAAAAUGUAGGAAAUAUAGUGAUUUAUGUGGGGAACAUAGCUAUGGUAAUUUGCCUGUCCCUGAACAAAGUUCUUGAUUUCUCCAUGCCUCAGUUUCUCCAUCUAUAAAAUAUCAUUAAUUAUUUCAGAGCCAUAAACAACAGCUGAUGUAAAAUUUGGUGAAAUACCAUUUCCAAGUGCUUGAGGCAUUUACAUAAAAGCUAUUACUGAUGUGUAAAAAUAUGAAUAUGAACAUAAGUCGAAUAAACAAAGUGGUAAAACAUUUUAAUGAGAAAUGCUGAGAGUGAGUAUUGUUCAUUCCGAGUGGCAAUACAUUUCAUAAAUGUAGUAUCUGCCCUUGGGUCAAAACAAAUUAAAGACUGCAUGGAUGAGAAACCAGGCCAGAUCCUGUGGCCCUUCUUACAGGACAAGAUGCAGAACAUCUUCUACAAAGUGAGUCCUAACAUCUAAAUGAGAUGAGAGUCUGAAUUGAGAAUUUCAAGAGACUAAAGAAAUCAUACACUUCAUCUCCCUAGUUUCAUGGAUAUACACUACUCCUUACCAAGGAAAUCUUCGAAUAUCCUGUAUUUUCCCAAGUAUGUCUCAGUUUUUCACUAAUAAAAUAUCUGUGGCUGUGCUGUGGGCUUCCAACUGUUGAAGUGCUUCUGGCACAUUUGGUAUAGUGUGAUAGACAACAAGGAAAUUGUGUGCUGCAGGGGAAACUGCUCUUCAUAUUGCUGUGGUAAAAGAAAUCAUCUAUUUAGUGAAGGCAAUAAUGGAAAAGAGAGCUAAUGUAAAGAAUCCUCAAGACACAACAGUUACAAUCUCAUCUAUUACACUUUGAUAGACUAAACUGCUAUGAUACCUUUAUUUCUGACAUGCUAGCUAGGUGUCUCUGCAUCUGUCCUUCUUUUCUUCCUCUAUCAAUCUGUCUAAUCAGCAGCAUGAACCCAAACUUCAGAAUUACAAGGAAGGUAAAUUUUUCAGACAACUUUACUCCAGAAAUUUGGUCUUUAUUAAAAAAGGAAGUAGUCUUUAGUCCAUGUUCCAAAGUGGAACUGAUACCCAUGGGUAACCGUUUAAAAAACCCACCAAACUUUAAUUCUGGGUGUUAACUCUCUCUCUCUCUAAUAUAAUGAUACCAACAAAAGCUGUUAAUGACUUUGCCAUCACCCAUUACAGCAGUAAUACAACUAAUGUGAAACUUGAUAACGUUGUCUCUUGUGCCCAAGAGCCUCAGCUUUUCUGUAUUCAACUAUGAAAAAAAUCAGCAACCUCAACUGUGAAUGGAAUUAUGCAAUAUGAAAUUCUGAUGUGUGUGGAAAGUUAUACCAAAGCCAAGUCAGUAUAAAAAUGAUCUGAAGAAUAAAAGAGUAGACUGCGCAAAUGUAUCCGUGCUGUUGAAUAAUGUUUUCUUCUCAAAUGGAACUGCUCUCUGCAAUAAAGAUUCUGAACUUUGUUGGC
Columba livia (rock pigeon) is the source of this 2431-nucleotide long non-coding RNA. RefSeq lists it as uncharacterized. The record is from RefSeq and is a predicted model, not a curated record. NCBI's taxonomy places the organism in Eukaryota, Metazoa, Chordata, Aves, Columbiformes, Columbidae. The transcript is spliced from 4 exons.